Molecule: ribosomal RNA, 425 nt
Filed under: uncultured bacterium
Lineage: Bacteria
Description: bacterial SSU rRNA
Rfam family: Bacterial small subunit ribosomal RNA
Source: RNAcentral
UGGGGAAUUUUGCGCAAUGGGCUAACGCCUGACGCAGCAACGCCGCGUGGAGGAUGAAGGUCUUUGGAUUGUAAACUCCUGUCAGCAGGGAAAAAGCGACUCAGCCUAAUACGCUGGGGAGUUGAUUGUACCUGCAGAGGAAGCACUGGCUAACUCUGUGCCAGCAGCCGCGGUAAUACAGAGAGUGCGAACGUUGUUCGGAAUUACUGGGCUUAAAGCGCACGUAGGCGGCAUCGUAAGUGUCAGGUGAAAUCCCACGGCUCACCCGUGGAACUGCCUGGCAGACUGCGAUGCUCGAGUGUGGUAGGGGAGAGCGGAACUCCUGGUGGAGCGGUGAAAUGCGUAGAUAUCAGGAGGAACACCGGUGGCGAAGGCGGCUCUCUGGUCCACAACUGACGCUGAGGUGCGAAAGCUAGGGGAGCAAA